UACGAAGGGGGCUAGCGUUGCUCGGAAUCACUGGGCGUAAAGGGUGCGUAGGCGGGUCUUUAAGUCAGGGGUGAAAUCCUGGAGCUCAACUCCAGAACUGCCUUUGAUACUGAGGAUCUUGAGUUCGGGAGAGGUGAGUGGAACUGCGAGUGUAGAGGUGAAAUUCGUAGAUAUUCGCAAGAACACCAGUGGCGAAGGCGGCUCACUGGCCCGAUACUGACACUGAGGCACGAAAGCGUGGGGAGCAAACAGG
This 253-nucleotide ribosomal RNA is filed under the name uncultured bacterium. RNAcentral describes it as "partial 16S ribosomal RNA". It matches the Rfam family "Bacterial small subunit ribosomal RNA", at positions 524 to 776 of the family's 1533-position model. The record is from RNAcentral.